This is a long non-coding RNA of Myiozetetes cayanensis, 836 nucleotides long. RefSeq lists it as uncharacterized. The transcript has 3 exons. Lineage: Eukaryota; Metazoa; Chordata; Aves; Passeriformes; Tyrannidae. The record is from RefSeq and is a predicted model, not a curated record.
UUUCUCACCUGAAGCAUAUUUUAUAAUUUUAUAUUUUCUCAAAGAUUCUAAGAAAAACUGUAGCAUUUAAAAUUGUUUUAUACCAUUCUGUCCAUCUGAAUGCGGUCCUUGAACUAACAGGUAUUUCAGACAGUUACAAAAUUAUGCAUCGUGCAUUUCUUGAAAACCAUUUUACACCCUUCUGUCAGUAAACAAUUCUUAUGAUUUAUAACUAAUAUAAUUGAUGUGAAAGCUAGUAGUUUUUGUUAGGUAUAUGUGCAGGCAGGUUCUUUUUAAGGAGGAGGAUUUUGGAACUGAAUGUAGGAAAAAAAUCUUAGAUCAGAGUUUCCUCAUCUUCCUGUAACCAUAUUGCUAAGCAGCUUUGCCAGGCGUCUUGAUUCUUAAAUUAUUUGUUGUGGGUUAGUGCUUGCUUAUCUUUUUUUGCUAUCUCUUGCCUACUCAAGAGCUUGCAUGUGAACUUCUCUUUCUGUUUGUUUUAGAACUCUUAAACCACUGGAAUAUUACAGGUUUUUGCACAUUACUCAUUGUUGAUCCUACUGCUGAGGAAGAUGAUUUAGCAACUGGAACAGUAACCACUGUCACUGAUGAAGAAGGCAGACUAUGUUCUGUCCAUAAACCAGGUGGAAGUCUUCUUACAGAAGCCAAGCUUCAGGACUGUAUCACCAGAGCAAUUACAAGACACAAAGAAGUAAAGAAGGUGAUUGACAAAGUAAUAAGUAUAAUGCCCGAGUGAACAAAAGGAGAGAUCUUUUAAAAAAUGGAUUUGUAAAAAUGUAUUUGUUACAGUGUUCACAAACCUUUUAUACUAAAUAAACAAAUACCAAUACAACCUUUAC